Molecule: ribosomal RNA, 497 nt
Filed under: uncultured bacterium
Lineage: Bacteria
Description: partial 16S ribosomal RNA
Rfam family: Bacterial small subunit ribosomal RNA
Source: RNAcentral
GAUGAACGCUGGCGGCGUGCCUAAUACAUGCAAGUCGAGCGAACGGACGAGAAGCUUGCUUCUCUGAUGUUAGCGGCGGACGGGUGAGUAACACGUGGAUAACCUACCUAUAAGACUGGGAUAACUUCGGGAAACCGUAGCUAAUACCGGAUAAUAUUUUGAACCGCAUGGUUCAAAAGUGAAAGACGGUCUUGCUGUCACUUAUAGAUGGAUCCGCGCUGCAUUAGCUAGUUGGUAAGGUAACGGCUUACCAAGGCAACGAUGCAUAGCCGACCUGAGAGGGUGAUAGGCCACACUGGAACUGAGACACGGUCCAGACUCCUACGGGAGGCAGCAGUAGGGAAUCGUCCGCAAUGGGCGAAAGCCUGACGGAGCAACGCCGCGUGAGUGAUGAAGGUCUUCGGAUCGUAAAACUCUGUUAUUAGGGAAGAACAUAUGUGUAAGUAACUGUGCACAUCUUGACGGUACCUAAUCAGAAAGCCACGGCUAACUACGUG